Long non-coding RNA from Gadus macrocephalus (Pacific cod), 3089 nucleotides. RefSeq lists it as uncharacterized. The record is from RefSeq and is a predicted model, not a curated record. The transcript has 2 exons. Lineage: Eukaryota; Metazoa; Chordata; Actinopteri; Gadiformes; Gadidae.
CGCUCAACGGUGAGCGGAACACAACGCGCCGCGCGCACACACAGGAAAUUGCAAACAACUGGCUCUGUGGAGGCUGACGGGAAGCCCGGGUUGAGCGCCUUUGAUUCCCUUUGUGGGGACUCCAUUCACGGGAGAGAGGAUCCAUCAAAUCCCCUCACCGCUACGUUGUAUGGACAUUUUUUAAGCGUCACGACACGGAGAGCCCCACGGACAGAGGCUUUGGUUUUGUGAAAAAAGACUGCUGCCUAGGAGAUCGCCUACAUUACCGCCGGCGUGUCCACAACCGCCGUGGUGACGGGCAACACAAUAAACAGUGCUCCACGGCACACUGGCUGUAUUAAUCCUCUGGCGGUGGGGGGGAGGUUAAAAGCCAGACAUCAGAAGACCAAACAAGUCCAAACCCCCCUGCAGAUUUCACCUCAGGAAACGGGAUCAGACACAUCAUCACCAUCAUCAUCAUCACGUCGGCCGGGCCCAUACCAGAGACAGGCCUCACUGUUGUGCAGCAUGCAGCCCAGCCAGACAGUAGCCAGACAAAUAUGACUACAUACCAGUGGAAUAACAAGGGGUUUGGGGUUGGGGUGAGCCCAGGGUUAGCAAGGGGGUGUUGGGAUGAAUGGGAGAAUGAACUGUGAACAUUUCCUGUGGCCGUUGAAAAUAGUAACUCUGUCUUCGCCUCUUCUAGGAAGUCUCUAAGUCCCUCUGAGCAGUUCAAAGUCUUGCUAUGAUCAAAUCCAGGCAUUGCCUGCACUUACUUACUUUCCAGUCAAUUUUUGUUUUGUCUAAUUUAUGUAAAUUCAAAGUUGAUGCCAUAAUAACAGUAGGAGUGGCUAUAGGGUCUCCAAUUAUUUUCAGAUUGGUCUUUACCGAACUUAAGCGCCAAGCACAAGCACGACGUGUCGAUGAGCCCCCCUCCAAAAGACCCACGUACUCACUUCUUCACCAUCUUGAGGCGGUGGAUCUCGUCACAGAUGGACUUGAGGUAGCGCUGUUUGGGCAGGCGGGACAACAGAUGGCUGACGCUGAUGUUGAACUGCUCCUCGCUCUCGAACUGAGAAGAGAAAGGGAUGUGAGCAGACGACCUGGAGGUGGAGGGCUCCAUCCCCCCCUGGAAGCACCCUGGAGAAGUGGCCUAUCCUCGAGCUGCUCCUGAGCAGAAGGCCUGUGUCUCAACACGCAUACACUGGUAAAAAAUAGCUUAGAAUUACUCAAUUAAUGAAUAAACAUGACAGAAAUCGUCUAAAUAGAGAGUACAAUUUGUAGUGGGGUCCAUUUUUACAUUUUCGGAAGUCCAGUCUCCAUAUGUUCUUUCCAAAAUGUCUCUAGAUCCGAUAUUGUUUCGCUCUAUUCCAUAAAUAUAUUAGAUAUAUAUUUCUCCGCUCCCAAGCAGCUGACAAGACUUCUUCUCUUCUAAAAGCAGGCUUUUCCUGUCCGACCUGGCUACAUAGGGUAUUGUCACGUGUCUUUUAUAUGCAUAUACAUUUAUAUAAAUAAUACACCAGAGGUACAGCUAAUUCAACGCCUUCGUUCUCACACAGUUAUGUCAUGGAAAAACGUAAUCUGUCUUUGUGUUUGUCACCGUUUAACGGCCCCCGGCUCCAUCCGCCUUUCUUAAUAAGUCUCUCCGAUGGAAAGCAGCAGUAUAGCGGGUGUUGUUCAGCUCAGGAUUUUGGAAUGUGAACAUUAACACCUAUUCAGGGCGUGGUGUUCAGACUGGCCGCUUUUUUAACUGGCCUGUGCAACAUGUUGCCUGGGGCCGUCUGUCUGUCUGUCUGUCUGUCUGUCUGCGUGCGUGCGUCGGGAGGAUAUAGCAGGACUCUUUGGGAGGAAACAGGGCCGUUUAUGUCUGCCGUCGGACCGAGAGGUGUUCCCCAAACUCCCCCUCAACAGCCCUGGGAACGUACUGUACAUUUUGCAACCCGGGAUUCCCUCUUCCCGUGGAGAGCGAGAGAGGGAAUCCCAUUGUGUUCCUUCCUUGUCCCUCCACCCCUUCCUUCAUUGACUGCACCGCAGGGGGAAAACCAACCUCCAGAGCCAGGAAGUUGAUGAGCGUUUCCUUCUGCAGGUCCACCUGUGGUCGUAAACACAGGAGAACAAUGAGGGAGACGGACACAAGCGGAGCACGGCCCAGCGUUAUCGCAAUGCUGCAUUGCAUUCCAUCGACGGAGCGGAAAACACACCACCAACACUGUGCUUUCUGCAGGAAGUUUGUUAGCGAUGCCCUCCUGGAGAUAAGCUGCUACUGCUGCAAAGAGCAAACAACCAGUAGCUUACCGCACGCACGCACACACUGUACCAUCAGAACAUUCUGUUCCUUCAUAAAGUAAGAAAUGUGGAGACUAAAGCCAGGGAUAUACUUCAAACGACAGGGGGAUGAGCUUGAAAAAUAUGUUUUUGGAUGAAAAUGGGCCACAGUUGGCCAACAAACUCAAGUGAAACAUUUCUAGGGUCGAGGCCAGGGAAUGAGGUGAGCUGGUGGAGGCACAGAAAGCAAGGAUGAGCACUGGUUGUUCAUUAUAUCAUUCAUACAAUGUGCUGAAAAUGACAUGAAUAUCUAUGUUUAACCAUUCACAAGAACAAUUUGUCAAAUUAAGUAUUCUUGGGAUGAGUAAAAAGUUCACCCGCUUUCACCUCGAUAUUUCAGAAAGCUGAAGUAUUGAAGGCUUGAACCCAAGACAAUAUUAAAACUUAUUUUUCAAUGUAUUUUGUUCCCAACGGAACCAAUUACAACAGAAAUUUGACUUCAGACGAAAACGCCAGCAGCCACAAUUUAUAUAAAUGAUGUCUCUGUGCUGGGAAAGCCAAUGUUAUGGUGUUCAACUGUUUUUCCAAUAUAGUUGUGAACCAUAUAUAGUUUUGUAUUGUUUAUGUUUGAUUAAUCUGUAUUACUAAGCCAACGAUGCCAUCUCUAACGGGCAUGGAUAAUUUAAUGGGAAAAUAAGACAGCGUAUUUUCCCCAAGAAUAUUUUACUGCAAAUCGACCAUGAAACUAUAAAUAAACAGAUAUAUUCGUUACAGGCAGUGAAAGAAGAAUAACUAUCAAAGAUUUAUGCUGUUCAUUCUCUGCGAUUUCACAUAUGCAUUCUAGA